RNAcentral lists this ribosomal RNA (253 nucleotides) under uncultured prokaryote. RNAcentral describes it as "partial 16S ribosomal RNA". It matches the Rfam family "Bacterial small subunit ribosomal RNA", at positions 524 to 776 of the family's 1533-position model. The record is from RNAcentral.
UACGUAGGUGGCAAGCGUUGUUCGGAAUUAUUGGGCGUAAAGGGCGCGUAGGCGGUUUGUUAAGUCGGCUGUGAAAGCCCGGGGCUCAACCCCGGAGGGUCAGCCGAUACUGGCUCGCUAGAGUGCGGUAGAGGGUGGUGGAAUUCCCGGUGUAGCAGUGAAAUGCGUAGAGAUCGGGAGGAACAUCUGUGGCGAAGGCGGCCACCUGGACCAGCACUGACACUGAGGCACGAAAGCGUGGGGAGCAAACAGG